UUCGAUUCUGGCUCAAGAUGAACGCUAGCUACAGGCUUAACACAUGCAAGUCGCGGGGCAGCACUGUGGUUGCUUGCAACCACUGGUGGCGACCGGCGCACGGGUGAGUAACGCGUAUCCAACCUGCCCUGCAGUGGGGAACAGCCCGGCGAAAGUCGGAUUAAUGCCCCAUGGCGUCCUCGGCGGGCAUCUAAUGAGGACUAAAGGCUUCGGCCGCUGCGGGAUGGGGAUGCGUAGGAUUAGGCAGGCGGCGGGGCGACGGCCCACCGCGCCGACGAUCCUUAGGGGUUCUGAGAGGAAGGUCCCCCACACUGGUACUGAGACACGGACCAGACUCCUACGGGAGGCAGCAGUGAGGAAUAUUGGUCAAUGGGCGCGAGCCUGAACCAGCCAAGUAGCCGUGCAGGAAGACGGCCCUACGGGUUGUAAACUGCUUUUAUGCGGGGAUAAAGUGGGCUACGCGUAGCCCUUUGCAGGUACCGCAUGAAUAAGGACCGGCUAAUUCCGUGCCAGCCGCCGC
This 520-nucleotide ribosomal RNA is filed under the name uncultured bacterium. Its description in RNAcentral is "bacterial SSU rRNA". It matches the Rfam family "Bacterial small subunit ribosomal RNA", at positions 12 to 518 of the family's 1533-position model. The record is from RNAcentral.